RNAcentral lists this signal recognition particle RNA (98 nucleotides) under Lentisphaerota bacterium. Its description in RNAcentral is "Lentisphaerae bacterium (anaerobic digester metagenome) signal recognition particle sRNA small type". It matches the Rfam family "Bacterial small signal recognition particle RNA". From Rfam's summary of the family: The signal recognition particle (SRP) is a universally conserved ribonucleoprotein involved in the co-translational targeting of proteins to membranes. Lineage: Bacteria; Pseudomonadati; Lentisphaerota. The record is from RNAcentral.
GACAGGCCUCCGGAUGACGGAAUCUGGGAAACCCCGUCAGGGUCGGAAGGCAGCAGCGGUAACCCAUGUAUUUCGGGUGUUUGGAAUCGCCUGUCGGA